This is a non-coding RNA of Siniperca chuatsi (mandarin fish), 790 nucleotides long. The record is from the annotation of a RefSeq genome assembly. NCBI's taxonomy places the organism in Eukaryota, Metazoa, Chordata, Actinopteri, Centrarchiformes, Sinipercidae.
GCUGCUGGAAGCCUUUUUUCCACACUGUUGUACUGAAGUUUUGACCUCCACUAGAGGGCGACAUUAUCAAGUAGGCGGUGCACUACUUCUGCACUGUGUUCAACCAUUGUGUCAAUAAUAACUGCUGCUGUGAAGAGAACAAUUCUCAGACUGAAUGUUGAACAGCAGCUAGUUUCUCCUGUUGAUUUAAACCUUGUUGUAGAGAUGGAACAUUGGCUGUGGAUUAUUCUUGCUGCUCUUUUCUUUGAGUGUAAAGGAGAAGAGAGAGUGAUCCAGCCAACAGGACAUGUCAUUGCUACUGAUGGAGACACAGUGACACUUGGCUGUACAUUUGAUAACAGUGACCCAGGUCCCACUUUGUUCUGGUACAAACAGGAUGGAGACAACAGCCCCAAAUUCAUACUGAGCCGCUUUAAACUGGACCAAGGGAACACACCAGACGAGUUUAAGGAGAGAUUUUCAUCCACACUGGAUUCCACCUUAAAAUCAGUUCCUCUGAAGAUCCAGAAGCUUCAGCUGUCUGACUCUGCUGUGUACUACUGUGCUCUGCGGCCCACAGUGACAGGAAACACCAAGACUCUGUACAAAAACCUUUGGAGCAAAGACAACAGAAUACUCCACAACGUCCACUAGAGGGAGUCACACACUGUUAACCUUCAGUGAUAUGUGAUGAUACAGUCUAGAAUCAUGGACACCUCCUCCACAAGUUGUUCCCUCAGUUAUAUAUACAGCCUUUAUUUAAUCAGGUCGUCUCACUGAGAUCAGACAGACCUGAGUACAGCAGGUAGAG